RNAcentral lists this ribosomal RNA (497 nucleotides) under uncultured bacterium. Its description in RNAcentral is "partial 16S ribosomal RNA". It matches the Rfam family "Bacterial small subunit ribosomal RNA", at positions 28 to 507 of the family's 1533-position model. The record is from RNAcentral.
GAUGAACGCUGGCGGCGUGCCUAAUACAUGCAAGUCGAGCGAACGGACGAGAAGCUUGCUUCUCUGAUGUUAGCGGCGGACGGGUGAGUAACACGUGGAUAACCUACCUAUAAGACUGGGAUAACUUCGGGAAACCGGAGCUAAUACCGGAUAAUAUUUUGAACCGCAUGGUUCAAAAGUGAAAGACGGUCUUGCUGUCACUUAUAGAUGGAUCCGCGCUGCAUUAGCUAGUUGGUAAGGUAACGGCUUACCAAGGCAACGAUGCAUAACCGACCUGAGAGGGUGAGCGGCCACACUGGAACUGAGACACGGUCCAGACUCCUACGGGAGGCAGCAGUAGGGAAUCUUACGCAAUGGGCGAAAGCCUGACGGAGCAACGCCGCGUGAGUGAUGAAGGUCUUCGGAUCGUAAAACUCUGUUAUUAGGGAAGAACAUAUGUGUAAGUAACUGUGCACAUCUUGACGGUACCUAAUCAGAAAGCCACGGCUAACUACGUG